RNAcentral lists this long non-coding RNA (1874 nucleotides) under Homo sapiens (human). RNAcentral's name for it is "HSALNT0117808". Lineage: Eukaryota; Metazoa; Chordata; Mammalia; Primates; Hominidae. The record is from RNAcentral.
CCUUGGCCUGGCCCAUGCAGCCCAGCCUGGGAAGGGUUAAGUUUCGGCCUCCCCCAGCGACAGGCUGGCCUGAUCUUCCGAAUCCUCUUUUAAUUAUUUUGUUCUGGCGAAGGCAGAUGCCUCUCGCCUGCUCUGCCGACUGGUGUGUGUGGCCGGGCCCCUGUGGACACCUGCCCGGGAAGACAAUCAAGGCAGCCCUGUGUCCCACCCAGAUGUGGGUGACCACGCCAGCCGGCGGUGCUGGACUCUGCCAGGUCUCCCUCAUAAAUGCCAUGGAAGUAGUCGGAGCUGGUGGGGAGCAUAGACGACAAACUGAGUGGGAGGAGGCCUGGGGAGCAGCCCCGUUUGAUGGACCCAGAAACUGAGGCCCAGGGGGAGUGAGGCUCACCCAUCACCCCUCUCGGCCAGUGAGUGCCGGGGUCCAGUGUAAACCAGGGAGCUCAGCCCGGGUCUCACCACAGGAGUAACACCUGUCACUCCUGAGUCACUCCUGAGUCAGCCCCCGCUCCUCUCCAGCCAUCCCUGCAGGGUAGAGAGUGGACUCCUGGCAGCCCCAGCCGCCCCCACGCCUCCCUCCUGAGCUCACCUGCCUUGGUUCCCGCCGUCUCCCCCAACUCACUCCCGGAUUCUCCCAGGUCAAAGACGGCCUCCUCUGCACUCCUACUGUGCCGGGAACAGUCGUCACCCCCAGGCGGUGGGCCCCUGCCCAGGGGGUCUUACUUGCACACGAAUGUGGGGGGCAUUUGGUCCCAUGGAGCAGCCGGGUCCCAGCACGCCCAGGAAGGCAGCGUUUGGCUCUGUGGGUUGAACGCCCGCCCCCUGUCUGGAGAGCACCUGGUGGAGAGGGGUGUCCGGACACACACGUCUCCCAUAGCCCCCACACAGACGGCGUGGCUCGGCUCUGGAUGUGUCCAUGGAACAUAGUCAGGGCCGUGGAACAGGUCUCCCAGAGCUAGAGGUUUUCCCGGCAGCUCCAAGCGAGGCUUCCUGAGAGUUCGAGGCGGUGCAGAGAGACCACCCUGGGGAACCGGCCAUCUCCAGAAACCGGGGAACCAUCCGUGGUGUGGGCCCAGCAAGGCCCCCUUCCCAGCGUGGCUGACUUCGCCUCUGAAUUAAUCUGGAUUUUUAAGUGCAAUUAAAGAGGAUGCCCCAGUCAUGAAGAGAGGCGGAGACAGACCACAGGCCCGUGGGGCAACCGGAAAACCCCUCCUCACUAAGAAUGAACUCCAAGGGGCUUCCCCGUCCCCCGCUGAGGUGGACUUCCGGCCUGGCAUCAGGAGCAGCCCACCUGCCUUCCCGGCCCUGGCCCGCCAGGCUGUGUCCCCCUGAGCCGACUGGGCCAUUCGCACCUCCAGGCGCUGGUUCCUGCCAUGCCUCUGCAAGACGUACCAUCUCCAAAACCGCUGUUCACAGCGGAUCAGCCCGGCGCAGCCUGCCCAUCCACCGUGCCCCUAUCCAGAAGCAAGACACAGCCUGGGCUGGGCCGUGAGGGUCCGUGACCUCCCACACCACACCGUGGCCCUCACUGCACUCUCAGUGCUGGGCUCCUACAGGUGAGCCUCCCCCAGGAUGAGUGUGGUGUCCCAGAGCCAUCUGAGCCCCCUCUUGUGGGUCAGGCCUGCCUUCUCAGGGUUCAGCUCAGUCCUGCUGAUGACAGCUGUGACUCAGGCCCGACAGCCCUUCAGGAACUCUCAUUAUCUUCCCCAGUUUACAGCUGGGGAAACUGAGGCUCGGAGUGAGCCAGCCCCUCCCCGUCCUGUCUCCCUUCCCUGCUGGGUCCACCCACUCAGGGCUUUCUAAGAGGGUGGAUUUUAAUUAAGCCAGUUUGUAAUUACCCACCUGCAUUUUACUUAAUAAACUCGGGGGAGUUUUCA